AUACCGUGUCCGUCCGCCGGUGCCCCACGGGGCCGAACAGGGAACGCAGAGCGCACCGCACCGCACCGCGCCGCUGCGGCUGCCCCCGCAACUGUGAGCAGCGAGUCCGCAUCCGAUUGACGCCACCGGCAGCGCCGCGCGUUGCGGCCACCGGGAAGGCCACACUGUGGAUGACGACCUGCCAGCCAGGAGACCUGCCGGUGACGUUUCGUUCGU
This 216-nucleotide non-coding RNA is filed under the name Burkholderia sp. Lineage: Bacteria; Pseudomonadati; Pseudomonadota; Betaproteobacteria; Burkholderiales; Burkholderiaceae. The record is from RNAcentral.